CCUACGGGUGGCAGCAGUGAGGAAUAUUGGUCAAUGGGCGAGAGCCUGAACCAGCCAAGUCGCGUGAGGGAGUACUGCCCUAUGGGUUGUAAACCUCUUUUGUCGGGGAGCAAAAGCCGGACGUGUCCGGCUGUGAGAGUACCCGAAGAAAAAGCAUCGGCUAACUCCGUGCAAGCAGCCGCGGGAAUACGGAGGAUGCGAGCGUUAUCCGGAUUUAUUGGGUUUAAAGGGUGCGCAGGCGGAUUUUUAAGUCAGCGGUAAAAUUGUGGGGCUCAACCCAAUCCAGCCGUUGAUACUGGGGGUCUAGAGUGUGGGUGAGGUAGGCGGAAUGCGUGGUGUAGCGGUGAAAUGCAUAGAUAUCACGCAGAACCCCGAUUGCGAAGGCAGCUUAC
Molecule: ribosomal RNA, 392 nt
Filed under: uncultured bacterium
Lineage: Bacteria
Description: partial 16S ribosomal RNA
Rfam family: Bacterial small subunit ribosomal RNA
Source: RNAcentral